GCUUACGGCCAUACCAACCUGGCUAUGCCUUAUCUCGUCUGAUCUCGGAAGCUAAGCAGGUUUGGGCCUGGUUAGUACUUGGAUGGGAGACCGCCUGGGAAUACCAGGUGCUGUAAGCU
Molecule: ribosomal RNA, 119 nt
Organism: Carassius auratus (goldfish)
Lineage: Eukaryota; Metazoa; Chordata; Actinopteri; Cypriniformes; Cyprinidae
Source: Ensembl